Small nuclear RNA from Tupaia belangeri (northern tree shrew), 104 nucleotides. The record is from Ensembl. NCBI's taxonomy places the organism in Eukaryota, Metazoa, Chordata, Mammalia, Scandentia, Tupaiidae.
GUACUUGCUUCGCCAGCACAUAUACUAAAAUUGGAACGAUAUAGAGAUUAGCAUGGCCCCUACACAAGGAUGAUGUGCAAAUUUGUGAAGCUUUCUUUAUUUUU